CACGUCCCUGCGGGCAGAACGAGCUGGGGAUGAGCGAGGGGGCAGGGAGAGCAUCACCGAGCGGGCUCACAGCUCCACCGGGCGCUGCGCACCUACCGGCGGGCUGGUGCAGCCGCAUCAGGUGCAGUCGUAUUUCACAACAAGAAGAGUCACCCCAGGCUUAAUUCAGGCCUAGGAAACCUCCAGGAAACCUUCACUGCUGUUCAUCUAUGCUGAGGAAAACCAUCCUGCAUCCUGACCUGUCCUGUCAGACACAGAUCACUGUCUUGUUAAGACUGUUCAGCGAGGAGCAGUUUCUCCUGGAUGGGCCACUGGGUGAGCAGAAGAUUUGGAACCACAGCAAAGCUGGGCUGUGCUUCACACACAUCUAUAGGGCAGAAGAAGGAUGGGAGAAACCAAGCUGUCAUCGCCAUAUCAGGCAACACGCGAAGGGUCAUACCCAGCGCAAGGAACUGGGAGGUGCGUGGGUGGGGCUGAGCACUGCACAUCCAUUUCUGUGCAGCACGGGAUCAAAUCCCUCUUACUGCCAUUGGCCUGAAAUUCCGACAAGGCUUCCUCUUCCCAGGUUGAAUCUUUUUUGGGAUUGAAGAUCAGGAAGUCUGUAUUGGUACCACCAAACCUCAGGUAUCCUGGGGAGAGCCCGCUGGCCAGAGUGUGCAGCUUGGGGUGUCUGUGGAAGGUAAAUGAAAUGCCAGGGUCGUCUCCCACAUGGAGGCAAAGCAUCAGCAGCAUUCAGAGAGACACCUUGCAGCAGAGGAUCUGAGACACCCAUCCCGUCAAAAUGUGGGCUUCAAGCUGGCUGUGCACUGUUUCUCCCUAUUUCCAUGGACAACCACCAAAUGGAUGGAUUUUGUUCCAAAGCGAGAGCAUGUAUGGAAUGAGUAUUCAAAGUAGAGCAGACGUUGUGCAGGACAUGCAGUUCCAGUGCUAUCUGGGAUGGCAGCAGCCCUAUCUCACCCUGUGGGGACACUCAGCAGAUACAGGGCCACCAAGCACUUCCUGGUGUCAUUGCAGCUGCCUGCCUUCAGAUAAAGCUGGUUUUUGCCUUACAGCUUUGGAGCAAUGGGGCAGGGCUAGAACUUGGGAUCAGGAGGGCGAAAAGGAAAGAAAUUAAAAGGCUUUAGGAAAAACAAAGCAAAACACAAAAAGUUGAAUCCAAAGGAGAAGAGAACAAAGAAAUAGAGCUGAAAGAACGUGACCGGAGUCCAUCACCUGGAAGCCCUGAGCUGGGAUUUGCUCACAGGCAGAAAAAGGCUUUGAUUGUAGCAGCUACUUGUUCACCUCUACGUGCAGCAGAAGCUCUCUGGCAUUCACUGGGGCUCACAGCACCCAGAGCCCUGCUAAGCAUCCACAGAGCCGCACCGAGGCUCAUGCUGCCUCUCUCCCAGCCAGCAACAUCAUCCCCUGCCAGCGUCUCGCACCAGCACCUGGCAUCCUCUCACCCGUUCCCCCAGGAGCGGCUGGGGCUGCAGGGCUCACCUGAGCAGGGCAACAAAGCGCGGGUCACGGGCCAAGCUGGCAUCCAGUGUAAGAGAGAGGAAGGCUGGGCUUACCGCCCCGAUGGCUUCCCGCAGCCCCAGCUGCAGCUCUGCCGUCUGCCUCGGCGGCACAGAGAGCAACAGCAACAGCAGCAGCAGCACCAGCAUCCUUCCUUCUCCUCCUCCUCCUCCUCCUCACCUUCCUCCUCCUCCGGGCCGCGCCACCGCCCCAGCACCACCCCUGGAGGGCGGGCAACCCCAGCACCGCCCCGCAGCCGCCCGCUCCCAGUUUUCCCGAUAUGAAGUCACCCUCCAUGAGAACGAGACCAACCAGAUCGCAUCGGCGCUGCCGUUCGGAAACACACCCACGGCUCUGCCGGAGCGGAAGCAUCAGCGACACUCCCCAUAGCACCACGAUCACCAGGAUGCUUCCAAUUCUGGGCUAUGGCACGUGUCUACCCUUUGCGGGGUGAGCUGCAGCAGCUCCUUCAUCCACCCCACGGGUGUUGCAGCAGCCACCCAGCCCUGCGACCGGGAUGCUACAUCUGGGAUACAGUCCACAGACAGUAGAUGGUGGGAACGAUGGGUCUGGUGCUUGCUGGCACUUGGGGAGCGUGCAGCCUCUUGCAGCUGCAGAGUAGCACUACAUUAUCAUUACAUAGCAAUUAGCAUCACUUAUUGGGGCAUAUAAACAUCCUGCAAGCAAAGGGAGAUGAAUACAGAAGCGUUUGUCACCCAUAGAAGUACAAGCAGAGUGCUUCACUGGGAGCUACAGAGCAAGGGCAAGAGGGCCAGGACAUGCCUAAAAACUCCUUCUUAGCACUGAUGCUCCACACUGGCCUCAUCCCACUGCCACCACACAGCCCUGCUGCUCCCCAGCCAGCGGUGCCAAUGGCAGGCACACAGCAGGAGCUUAUAGCAACAGCUUAUAGCUUUCUGGGAAUGUCUGCAGCCCAACCACGGAAGUGCUGAGCUAUCACCAGCAGCAGCACCCCUGUUCUUCCUGAGCAACAACCAGCUGACUUGUAUUUAUGUGUGCAAAGGGAACACAGAAGGGAAGAAUAAACAGUGCAAAAGGCCAAACGGCUCUUGUGGCAUCACAGCAUUUAUGCAGACCAACAGAACUGGCCGUGUCGGAUUAGUGUAUAAAAGAAACCUCACUGAAAUAAAACUCAGUUGCAAAAGUAGAUUAUGUACCUAAAAUGAGGCUUCUUAAAUAAUUAAAACCACAGGCUGUGCUUCUCAAAGGCCUCCUGCAUCA
Molecule: non-coding RNA, 2739 nt
Organism: Coturnix japonica (Japanese quail)
Lineage: Eukaryota; Metazoa; Chordata; Aves; Galliformes; Phasianidae
Source: RefSeq, a predicted model, not a curated record